GGAUGUUAGGUAUGGUCAGGUUGUAACAUCUGUCAUCACAAUAAUCACCAAGGUCUAUAUGAAUGGUCUCACUGGUAGAUUGGUGUUCCCUUCCUUUGUCACUGCCCCAUUCACAUCUCUCUAAAAGCUGCACAGAUGGGGGAAGAAGAUAACCUUAACUGAUGGAAGAGGGGCAGUUUUUGGUUAAGAGUAGCUGAGUAGCUGUGCUCAGCUCUCAAGUUCCAAAAACAGUUCAGAAAGUCGAGAGACAAAUAGUACUUUGCUUU
This is an unclassified non-coding RNA of Mus spicilegus (steppe mouse), 266 nucleotides long. Its record names the gene 7SK. It matches the Rfam family "7SK RNA". From Rfam's summary of the family: 7SK was discovered as an abundant small nuclear RNA in the mid-70s but a possible function has only recently been suggested. Two independent studies have found that 7SK RNA binds the CDK9/cyclin T complex (known as elongation factor P-TEFb). The record is from Ensembl. Lineage: Eukaryota; Metazoa; Chordata; Mammalia; Rodentia; Muridae.